Long non-coding RNA from Schistocerca nitens (vagrant locust), 713 nucleotides. RefSeq lists it as uncharacterized. The record is from RefSeq and is a predicted model, not a curated record. NCBI's taxonomy places the organism in Eukaryota, Metazoa, Arthropoda, Insecta, Orthoptera, Acrididae. The transcript is spliced from 3 exons.
CACUAGUGAGGAGAAACCAGGUUUGGUUAUGAAGGAUUGUGUGGGUAGCUAAAAAUACGAUUUUCUUGAGUUUUGAAUCGAAACUAAUCACCAUAUCGUUUAAUACAGGAUAUCAAAUCGAAUAAUUUUUCUACAGUAACAAGAAAUUACAGCAACAGUGUUUCCAACAGAUAGAUGAACUACACAAUUUUCCGAACGUAUGUCGAUUAGUUUUCUGACGUAAAUCGAGGUCUUCAUUGUUUACGUGAUUACAAUGUUAAAGUUGUGAGUGCCUGCAGUUGUGAAAGUGGUUGAAACAUCUAGAACAGCCUGGAAAGACAUUCGUUCCCAAUGCAAAACGUCCAGCGCUCUAAUUAGUACCCGCCUUUCAAUAUAUCAGGAUGGAGCACCACUGCACUGGCACCAUCUUGUAAGAGUAUUUCAUCGUCCUACAUGCUCUCCCUUCCAACAUCUUUGGGUGAACUGCGACGCCACAUAGCAGAAUCAGUGAAUGCAGUAAAUCGAGACAUAUACACAAAGCAAAGAAUUUGUUUAUCAGCUGGAUGCUUUUCAUGCAUCAGGUGGAGGGCACACUGGAAUUUGUGAAAAUUGCUGAUGUGAGAGGGAUGGAAAAUGUUUCUAAAAGAAAAAUAUGGGAGUUAUUGCUGGGAUCUGCACACCAUUUUACACAGAACUUUAUUUACCACGGCUGUAAUUAAGGUGUUAACAAUGAG